UUUGGGGCCACAGAAUCCACUUGCUGUACUUCUACUUUUCUCCAAAUGUUCAGGCAGCAGGGCACCAGUGGGUUUUAAUUCUCCAGCGCCCCACGCAGACAAGGGGCAGAAUCUCAUUGUGUCUCUCAGAUGGCAAAUAGCAGCGGACCCACCCACACCCAAGGAUCCUUGGAGGUCAAUGGAGAAGCUGAGCACUUUUCUGAACUAUCACACUGUCACCAAACUCUCUCUGCUCCUGUCUCUUGUUAAGGUUCCCUGGACAGCACAAGGUUCAAAAGUCUCAGGGUCCUCUUCUGCAGUCUCAAUUGCCUAAGCACUUCUACGAUGGCUCUUCCUUUUAGAUGUUCUGCUCAUAUCUUCUUCUCAGAGCCUUCAUCCAGCAGCUGAUGGAAGCAGAAGCAGAUACCCACAGCUAAAAACUGAACUGAACUUGAAUCCAGUUGCAGAGAAGGAGGAUUGUGAGCAAAGGGGUCAAGAUCACGCUAGUGAAACCCACAGAAAUAGCUGACCUGAACAAGAGGGAGCCCUUGGGCCCCAGACUGAUCACUGGGAAACCAGCAUGGAACUGAUCCAGACCCCAUAAAUGUGGGUAUCAGUGAGGAGGCCUCAGAAAUAUAUGGGGCCUCUUGUAGUAGAUCAGUACUUAUCCC
Molecule: long non-coding RNA, 650 nt
Filed under: Cricetulus griseus (Chinese hamster)
Lineage: Eukaryota; Metazoa; Chordata; Mammalia; Rodentia; Cricetidae
Description: lncRNA (ENSCGRG00015030423.1)
Source: RNAcentral